RNAcentral lists this ribosomal RNA (406 nucleotides) under uncultured bacterium. RNAcentral's name for it is "partial 16S ribosomal RNA". It matches the Rfam family "Bacterial small subunit ribosomal RNA", at positions 30 to 526 of the family's 1533-position model. The record is from RNAcentral.
AUUGAACGCUGGCGGCAGGCCUAACACAUGCAAGUCGAACGAGUGGCGGACGGGUGCGUGAUGUCUGGGAAACUGCACGAUGGCGAGGGCUAACUCCUGGAUACUGUAACUAAUACCUCAUACCAUCGGUUGUGCCCUGGUUGGAUUAGCUAGUUGGUGGGGUAACGGCUCACCUAGGCGACGAUCCCUAGCUGAUCUGAGAGUCUGAACGGCCACACUGGGACUUAGACACGGACCAGACUCCUACGGGAGGCAGCAGGAGGGAAUAUUGCACAAGGGGCGCAAGCCUGAUGCAGCCAUGCCGCGUGUAUGAAGAAGGUUUUCGGGUUGUAAAGUACUUUGAGAAGGAAGGCGUUACUCGAAGAGAAAGCGCCGGCUAACUACGUGCCAGCAGCCGCGGUAAUUC